AACGAACGCUGGCGGCGUGGAUUAGGCAUGCAAGUCGUACGCGAAAGUUCCCUUCGGGGGGCGAGUAGAGUGGCGAACUGGUGAGUACAAGGUGACUAACCUGCCCUUGAGUGGGGGAUA
RNAcentral lists this ribosomal RNA (120 nucleotides) under uncultured bacterium. RNAcentral describes it as "partial 16S ribosomal RNA". It matches the Rfam family "Bacterial small subunit ribosomal RNA", at positions 29 to 145 of the family's 1533-position model. The record is from RNAcentral.